UUUGUCUGUACUGUUGAAAUUGAUCAAAUAUCCACAUCCUUCUUAAAGUAACAGUAACACCAUUAUAUUAAGGAGAAAAUGCAUGCAGAGCAAAUUCUUUCUUUGCAGUUUAUGGAAGAGUUGAGAGCGCAGAGCAGCUUCUUGUCUCAGCUUGUCUGAUUGCUGCAGGGUCUGGAGCUCCUGCAGAUGUGUCCGCAUCUCCCUCAGCAUCUCUGCACUCCCUGCAGUCUGCUCUGCUCUAUUGUUCUGGCCUUUAACAAGACUCUCUGCCCUUCCUCGUUAGUUUGUUUGCAAGAGGAAUUCCUGUUUUCAGCUUCCUGCGGAACAUAAAAACCUCUGAUGGAACAUCGACUCAAACACUCAGUGAUCAAAUCCAUCUGAAGAGCUUUUUCCAGUCUGAUUAUUACCCUGAGGAAUAGGAGGUACAAGAUAACGAAAACAAGUUAUCUCAGCCCACAGCUCCACCUGGUGGCAAACUGGGGUAUAGACGUAAAAGUUCUGUUUUAAGAAGGAAUUUUGUCAGUUUGCUUCUUCGCCAAUUUACAUUAAAAAUGCAGUAAGCCCCAUUUGUAAAAAAUAAAUAAGUAAAAAAAUAAGUACAAAUAAAAUAAAAAAGGCUAAUUGCCUUCUCCCAGUCCUCUCAGUGCUUACUAGAAACAGCCAAUCAGAGCCAGGAGGCGGGUCUUACGUCAGCCGAUCUUGUCUUGCUAAUGCUAGUUAGCAUAGCUAACGAUGACGGCGGAAAAACGGCGGUUUUCCUGUUAUAGUUAUUUCUCCACCAUUAGUCUAUUUAGCAGUGAGUAUGGGACAUUGAUUGACAGCGCUAAGCCCCUCCUCCUGGUUCUGAUUGGUUGUUUUUGACUAUUUUUUUCAAACAACUCAAUCUUUUCAUAGAUUAUAUGUCACUUAAACUGUCACGACAUGGUGGCAGCUUUAACAAAUAUGUUUUAAAUUUUUUUUGAUAAAUGUUCCGGUGAACUGCUAGGUAACCACUCCCCUCUGUCACUCCCCUGCACCUUUCUGCAGCUCCUUUCUGCCUGUCGGUGAGGAGAACCAGGUGGACUCAAUCUUCAAUCUCCUAGCAAUCAGAGUGCAGCUACUUUUGGUGUGACUGACUUGUCAGUCCUGGUUUGAGAGCAUGAGAUGCAAACAGUGCUGGAGCAUUUAAGCUCAGAACUGUGUGAAAGUUUCAACAAGCUGUGAAAGACAGCCGGUUUUUCACCUAUGGGCUAUUGAGAUUUGAGCUAUGUGGACCAUCAUGAAAAAUAAAGAUGAGUCAAUGAAAUUAAAGUCUCUGAGUGAAAUCCAGUUCAAAGAUCACAGUGGAAACGAUCCCUUUCAAGUGGGGAUCACACAGUAAACCAAACCGGAAAAA
Poecilia reticulata (guppy) is the source of this 1375-nucleotide non-coding RNA. Lineage: Eukaryota; Metazoa; Chordata; Actinopteri; Cyprinodontiformes; Poeciliidae. The record is from RefSeq and is a predicted model, not a curated record.